Molecule: ribosomal RNA, 1846 nt
Filed under: Salmonella enterica
Lineage: Bacteria; Pseudomonadati; Pseudomonadota; Gammaproteobacteria; Enterobacterales; Enterobacteriaceae
Also listed under: 1 other name
Description: partial 23S ribosomal RNA
Rfam family: Bacterial large subunit ribosomal RNA
Source: RNAcentral
CUUAGAAGCAGCCAUCAUUUAAAGAAAGCGUAAUAGCUCACUGGUCGAGUCGGCCUGCGCGGAAGAUGUAACGGGGCUAAACCAUGCACCGAAGCUGCGGCAGCGACACUCAGGUGUUGUUGGGUAGGGGAGCGUUCUGUAAGCCUGCGAAGGUGGCCUGUGAGGGUUGCUGGAGGUAUCAGAAGUGCGAAUGCUGACAUAAGUAACGAUAAAGCGGGUGAAAAGCCCGCUCGCCGGAAGACCAAGGGUUCCUGUCCAACGUUAAUCGGGGCAGGGUGAGUCGACCCCUAAGGCGAGGCCGAAAGGCGUAGUCGAUGGGAAACGGGUUAAUAUUCCCGUACUUGGUGUUACUGCGAAGGGGGGACGGAGAAGGCUAUGUUGGCCGGGCGACGGUUGUCCCGGUUUAAGCGUGUAGGUGUGUGUUCCAGGUAAAUCCGGUUCACUUUAACACUGAGGCGUGAUGACGAGGCACUACGGUGCUGAAGCAACAAAUGCCCUGCUUCCAGGAAAAGCCUCUAAGCAUCAGGUAACAUCAAAUCGUACCCCAAACCGACACAGGUGGUCAGGUAGAGAAUACCAAGGCGCUUGAGAGAACUCGGGUGAAGGAACUAGGCAAAAUGGUGCCGUAACUUCGGGAGAAGGCACGCUGACACGUAGGUGAAGUGAUUUACUCAUGGAGCUGAAGUCAGUCGAAGAUACCAGCUGGCUGCAACUGUUUAUUAAAAACACAGCACUGUGCAAACACGAAAGUGGACGUAUACGGUGUGACGCCUGCCCGGUGCCGGAAGGUUAAUUGAUGGGGUCAGCGCAAGCGAAGCUCCUGAUCGAAGCCCCGGUAAACGGCGGCCGUAACUAUAACGGUCCUAAGGUAGCGAAAUUCCUUGUCGGGUAAGUUCCGACCUGCACGAAUGGCGUAAUGAUGGCCAGGCUGUCUCCACCCGAGACUCAGUGAAAUUGAACUCGCUGUGAAGAUGCAGUGUACCCGCGGCAAGACGGAAAGACCCCGUGAACCUUUACUAUAGCUUGACACUGAACAUUGAGCCUUGAUGUGUAGGAUAGGUGGGAGGCUUUGAAGUGUGGACGCCAGUCUGCAUGGAGCCGGCCUUGAAAUACCACCCUUUAAUGUUUGAUGUUCUAACGUGGACCCGUGAUCCGGGUUGCGGACAGUGUCUGGUGGGUAGUUUGACUGGGGCGGUCUCCUCCUAAAGAGUAACGGAGGAGCACGAAGGUUGGCUAAUCCUGGUCGGACAUCAGGAGGUUAGUGCAAUGGCAUAAGCCAGCUUGACUGCGAGCGUGACGGCGCGAGCAGGUGCGAAAGCAGGUCAUAGUGAUCCGGUGGUUCUGAAUGGAAGGGCCAUCGCUCAACGGAUAAAAGGUACUCCGGGGAUAACAGGCUGAUACCGCCCAAGAGUUCAUAUCGACGGCGGUGUUUGGCACCUCGAUGUCGGCUCAUCACAUCCUGGGGCUGAAGUAGGUCCCAAGGGUAUGGCUGUUCGCCAUUUAAAGUGGUACGCGAGCUGGGUUUAGAACGUCGUGAGACAGUUCGGUCCCUAUCUGCCGUGGGCGCUGGAGAACUGAGGGGGGCUGCUCCUAGUACGAGAGGACCGGAGUGGACGCAUCACUGGUGUUCGGGUUGUCAUGCCAAUGGCACUGCCCGGUAGCUAAAUGCGGAAGAGAUAAGUGCUGAAAGCAUCUAAGCACGAAACUUGCCCCGAGAUGAGUUCUCCCUGAGACUUUAGGUCUCCUGAAGGAACGUUGAAGACGACGACGUUGAUAGGCCGGGUGUGUAAGCGCAGCGAUGCGUUGAGCUAACCGGUACUAAUGAACCGUGAGGCUUAACCUUACA